CCUACGGGCGGCAGCAGUGGGGAAUAUUGCACAAUGGGGGAAACCCUGAUGCAGCGACGCCGCGUGAGUGAAGAAGUAAUUCGUUAUGUAAAGCUCUAUCAGCAGGGAAGAAAAUGACGGUACCUGAGUAAGACGCCCCGGCUAACUACGUGCCAGCAGCCGCGGUAAUACGUAGGGGGCAAGCGUUAUCCGGAUUUACUGGGUGGAAAGGGAGCGUAGACGGCAGUGCAAGUCUGGAGUGAAAGGCGGGGGCUCAACCCCCGGACUGCUCUGGAAACUGUACGGCUGGAGUGCAGGAGAGGUAAGUGGAAUUCCUAGUGUAGCGGUGAAAUGCGUAGAUAUUAGGAGGAACACCAGUGGCGAAGGCGGCUUACUGGACUGUAACUGACGUUGAGGCUCGAAAGCGUGGGGAGCAAACAGGAUUAGAUACCCCUGUAGUC
RNAcentral lists this ribosomal RNA (440 nucleotides) under uncultured bacterium. RNAcentral describes it as "partial 16S ribosomal RNA". It matches the Rfam family "Bacterial small subunit ribosomal RNA", at positions 338 to 795 of the family's 1533-position model. The record is from RNAcentral.